Long non-coding RNA from Nymphaea colorata (pocket water lily), 629 nucleotides. RefSeq lists it as uncharacterized. The record is from RefSeq and is a predicted model, not a curated record. NCBI's taxonomy places the organism in Eukaryota, Viridiplantae, Streptophyta, Magnoliopsida, Nymphaeales, Nymphaeaceae. The transcript has 2 exons.
AAAAAAAAAUGGGGAAAUGCUAACUCGUGAGAAGGGGAACAACCCAUGUAGCUUCUCCGCCCUCUCUUCGUCCGCUUGGCGAGGCCUUUGGAGGGGAAGACGCUGCCCCAUUCUAGGGGAUGCCCCUUGGAGAAGAUCCUUCUCAAACGUCGCCACUCAUAUCCAUUCGCUACAUCAUCCUGUCUAAAACUUGAAGCCCCGCAUGUUGGUGGAGAAGAGGACACUCUAAGGAGGGUUGUAGAAAGCAUGGCCGCGGAAAAUCCAGGGAUUCAAGGGGACCGAUCUCCAUGUUAAGUGCAUGAUUGGUUGCAUCAGAAUUUGUCUCUGACACGUUGAUGUUGUUUUUCAAGUACUCACUCGGCGGAUUGCAGUGCUUACUGUUUGUGAUGCUAUUAGGAGAAAGGAUGAUUGCUGAACAUUGUGAUUUAUACCAUUAUUUGCCUAUAUUUGUUGUUGUGGUUCUGGGUUCUGUAUAUUCGAUCAUGUAAGCUGAUGCCAUUUUGUAUAAACAGUGUUUUUAGGUAUAUAUAUCUUUGGAGUUUGACCACCAAAGUAUGGGUGUGCGUCAUGUGUUACUUAUGAAGUUCACUCACUAACAUGCCAUUGUGAUAGAAUGGAUAUGCUUACGA